GUGGACAUGUCAGAAGCAUAAUAGUGUUAACAUGAUCUCACAGCUGGAUGUAGGAAGCAGAACCAACUACUCGACGGAGAUUAGUCUUCUGGUCACAACCUCAGGCACGACAUCAACAGCAAGAAUCUGUCUCCCAUUGUGAAUCUGCCUUGGACUGCAGAGCUUGACAAGAUUUCACAAACCAGGAAGCGAUGUCCAUCAACUGCUAAACCACACCUGGUGUCACCAGCGGGAGAUUUGCUCGUCCUCAUCUUGGUCUGCAUAUAAGUAGACGUGGUACAAACUUUGAAGCAAUAUUGCAGUUGCCUAAGAGACACUGUACUCUACUCAUCUGUCUAAGUUUCGUGAAAAGCAGCCAUGAAGAGCAUGUUGGCUUGUCUGGCCUUUGGUGGCGUCCUCAUUGCACUGGCUGUAGACACCAGCGCUUAUCCCCAGCAGCAGGAGCUUCCGACCCAACAUCAGCAGCUUCCGACCCAACAUCAGCAGCAGCAGCAACCACCUCUGCAGAAUGUUGUGACCGAAUGGUGCAGGUCUGAAAACGGCUCAGUGCCUUACUGGCUGGACCCUACCUGUACGACCUAUGUGACCUGUACUAAUUUCAACCUGACCCUAGAAAAGUGCGAAGAGGGUCUGGCAUACAGUUUCCGUCAGAAGCAUGCGUGGAGAUUGACCUCGUGAACUGCACGGAUCAGAACGAACAGUUCAUCUUGGUGCUGAGGAAGGUGGUGGCCUCAACCUUCUACAAUAACUUGCCAAGACCUCACCUGCCUUUCGGCGCCGCUGCACCAGCCGACGGCGAGAACGAGGAGAGGGAGGAAGAGAAUUCCAGCAACGUGCCCGCCGGUCGCGCUGCCGCUGGUGGUCUCGGUGCUUCUACAGACGAGGAGGAGGGCGCGGGCGACAACGCUGUCUUGACCAUUGACCUCACCGAUCUGCCCACCAUCGUCGUGGAUAGCUCGAACUCGUUCAACGUGACCCUUCCGUCUGCCAUGUGUCAUCACCUUGACGACAGAGUCUCUCAGCUCGAGCAGAGUGUCAACACCGUGCUGCUGAUGCUGACCGGAUGUCCCGAGCGCGCAUGCGACGUACCUCUCUUCCAUUUUGAUUGUUAGAUGCACGCGCUGGAGAGAAGCGAUGACAUGAUGUCACGAGAAAUCGUUCUUCCCUGAUAAUGUUGUUGGUUGUUAUUGUGUGGCGCGUGCCUUCUGCCAGUUUCCAUGAGCAGUCGGCGUGGUCGCUGUCGGUGUCUGGCUUUAAGAAAACAUCUUGAUGAGAGGGCAAUAAAGGACCUGGUGCGAUGCUG
This is a long non-coding RNA of Pomacea canaliculata, 1303 nucleotides long. RefSeq lists it as uncharacterized. The transcript has 4 exons. The record is from RefSeq and is a predicted model, not a curated record. Lineage: Eukaryota; Metazoa; Mollusca; Gastropoda; Architaenioglossa; Ampullariidae.